RNAcentral lists this ribosomal RNA (2877 nucleotides) under Burkholderia multivorans. Its description in RNAcentral is "bacterial LSU rRNA". It matches the Rfam family "Bacterial large subunit ribosomal RNA". Lineage: Bacteria; Pseudomonadati; Pseudomonadota; Betaproteobacteria; Burkholderiales; Burkholderiaceae. The record is from RNAcentral.
UCAAGCGAACAAGUGCAUGUGGUGGAUGCCUUGGCGAUCACAGGCGAUGAAGGACGCGGUAGCCUGCGAAAAGCCCCGGGGAGCUGGCAAACAAGCUUUGAUCCGGGGAUGUCCGAAUGGGGAAACCCACUCCUUAUGGAGUAUCCAUAGCUGAAUACAUAGGCUAUGUGAAGCGAACGCGGUGAACUGAAACAUCUAAGUAACCGCAGGAAAAGAAAUCAACCGAGAUUCCCAAAGUAGUGGCGAGCGAAAUGGGAUGAGCCUUGUACUCUUUAUUUGUAUUGUUAGCCGAACGCUCUGGAAAGUGCGGCCAUAGCAGGUGAUAGCCCUGUAGGCGAAAACAGUAUGAAAGAACUAGGUGUACGACAAGUAGGGCGGGACACGUGAAAUCCUGUCUGAAGAUGGGGGGACCAUCCUCCAAGGCUAAAUACUCGUGAUCGACCGAUAGUGAACCAGUACCGUGAGGGAAAGGCGAAAAGAACCCCGGGAGGGGAGUGAAAUAGAUCCUGAAACCGCAUGCAUACAAACAGUCGGAGCCUCGUAAGGGGUGACGGCGUACCUUUUGUAUAAUGGGUCAGCGACUUACGUUCAGUAGCAAGCUUAACCGUAUAGGGCAGGCGUAGCGAAAGCGAGUCCGAAUAGGGCGUUCAGUUGCUGGGCGUAGACCCGAAACCAGGUGAUCUAUCCAUGGCCAGGAUGAAGGUGCGGUAACACGUACUGGAGGUCCGAACCCACUAACGUUGAAAAGUUAGGGGAUGAGCUGUGGAUAGGGGUGAAAGGCUAAACAAACCUGGAAAUAGCUGGUUCUCUCCGAAAACUAUUUAGGUAGUGCCUCGUGUCUCACCUUCGGGGGUAGAGCACUGUCAUGGUUGGGGGGUCUAUUGCAGAUUACCCCGCCAUAGCAAACUCCGAAUACCGAAGAGUGCAAUCACGGGAGACAGACAUCGGGUGCUAACGUCCGGUGUCAAGAGGGAAACAACCCAGACCGCCAGCUAAGGUCCCCAAAUAUGGCUAAGUGGGAAACGAAGUGGGAAGGCUAAAACAGUCAGGAGGUUGGCUUAGAAGCAGCCACCCUUUAAAGAAAGCGUAAUAGCUCACUGAUCGAGUCGUCCUGCGCGGAAGAUGUAACGGGGCUAAGCCAUAUACCGAAGCUGCGGAUGCGUGCUUGCACGCAUGGUAGGAGAGCGUUCCGUAAGCCUGCGAAGGUGCCUUGUAAAGGGUGCUGGAGGUAUCGGAAGUGCGAAUGCUGACAUGAGUAGCGAUAAAGGGGGUGAAAGGCCCCCUCGCUGUAAGCCCAAGGUUUCCUACGCAACGUUCAUCGGCGUAGGGUGAGUCGGCCCCUAAGGCGAGGCAGAAAUGCGUAGCUGAUGGGAAGCAGGUCAAUAUUCCUGCACCGUCGUUAGAUGCGAUGGGGGGACGGAUCGCGGAAGGUUGUCCGGGUGUUGGACGUCCCGGUCGCUGCAUUGGAGAAGGCGCUUAGGCAAAUCCGGGCGCAGGAUUCAAGGGUGUGGCGCGAGCGACUUCGGUCGCGAAGCAAUUGGAAGUGGUUCCAAGAAAAGCCUCUAAGCUUCAGUCUAACGAUGACCGUACCGCAAACCGACACAGGUGGGCGAGAUGAGUAUUCUAAGGCGCUUGAGAGAACUCGGGAGAAGGAACUCGGCAAAUUGGUACCGUAACUUCGGGAUAAGGUACGCCCUUGUAGCUUGACUGGCCUGCGCCAGGAGGGUGAAGGGGUUGCAAUAAACUGGUGGCUGCGACUGUUUAAUAAAAACACAGCACUCUGCAAACACGAAAGUGGACGUAUAGGGUGUGACGCCUGCCCGGUGCCGGAAGAUUAAAUGAUGGGGUGCAAGCUCUUGAUUGAAGUCCCGGUAAACGGCGGCCGUAACUAUAACGGUCCUAAGGUAGCGAAAUUCCUUGUCGGGUAAGUUCCGACCUGCACGAAUGGCGUAACGAUGGCCACACUGUCUCCUCCCGAGACUCAGCGAAGUUGAAGUGUUUGUGAUGAUGCAAUCUACCCGCGGCUAGACGGAAAGACCCCAUGAACCUUUACUGUAGCUUUGCAUUGGACUUUGAACCGAUCUGUGUAGGAUAGGUGGGAGGCUAUGAAACCGGAACGCUAGUUUCGGUGGAGCCGUCCUUGAAAUACCACCCUGGUUUGUUUGAGGUUCUAACCUUGGUCCGUGAUCCGGAUCGGGGACAGUGCAUGGUAGGCAGUUUGACUGGGGCGGUCUCCUCCCAAAGGGUAACGGAGGAGUACGAAGGUACGCUAGGUACGGUCGGAAAUCGUGCUGAUAGUGCAAUGGCAUAAGCGUGCUUAACUGCGAGACCGACAAGUCGAGCAGGUGCGAAAGCAGGUCAUAGUGAUCCGGUGGUUCUGUAUGGAAGGGCCAUCGCUCAACGGAUAAAAGGUACUCUGGGGAUAACAGGCUGAUACCGCCCAAGAGUUCAUAUCGACGGCGGUGUUUGGCACCUCGAUGUCGGCUCAUCUCAUCCUGGGGCUGUAGCCGGUCCCAAGGGUAUGGCUGUUCGCCAUUUAAAGAGGUACGUGAGCUGGGUUUAAAACGUCGUGAGACAGUUUGGUCCCUAUCUGCCGUGGGCGUUGGAUAUUUGAAGGGGGCUGCUCCUAGUACGAGAGGACCGGAGUGGACGAACCUCUGGUGUACCGGUUGUGACGCCAGUCGCAUCGCCGGGUAGCUAUGUUCGGAAGAGAUAACCGCUGAAAGCAUCUAAGCGGGAAACUCGCCUUAAGAUGAGAUAUCCCUGGAGGCUUGACCUCCUUGAAGGGUCGUUCGAGACCAGGACGUUGAUAGGUCGGGUGUGUAAGCGCAGUAAUGCGUUCAGCUAACCGAUACUAAUUGCCCGUAAGGCUUGAUC